CCAAUCUAGAGUNUCGGAGAGGAAAGUGGAAUUCCUAGUGUAGCGGUGAAAUGCGUAGAUAUUAGGAAGAACACCAGUGGCGAAGGCGACUUUCUGGACGAAAACUGACGCUGAGGCGCGAAAGCCAGGGGAGCGAACNGGAUUAGAUACCCCGGUAGUCCUGGUCGUAAACGAUGGGUACUAGGUGUAGGAGGUAUCGACCCCUUCUGUGCCGGAGUUAACGCAAUAAGUACCCCGCCUGGGGAGUACGACCGCAAGGUUGAAACUCAAAGGAAUUGACGGGGGCCCGCACAAGCGGUGGAGUAUGUGGUUUAAUUCGACGCAACGCGAAGAACCUUACCAGGUCUUGACAUUGAUGGACAGAACCAGAGAUGGUUCCUCUUCUUCGGAAGCCAGAAAACAGGUGGUGCACGGUUGUCGUCAGCUCGUGUCGUGAGAUGUUGGGUUAAGUCCCGCAACGAGCGCAACCCCUAUCUUAUGUUGCCAGCACUUUGGGUGGGGACUCAUGAGAGACUGCCGCAGACAAUGCGGAGGAAGGCGGGGAUGACGUCAAAUCAUCAUGCCCCUUAUGACCUGGGCUACACACGUACUACAAUGGGAGUUAAUAGACGGAAGCGAGAUCGCGAGAUGGAGCAAACCCGAGAAACACUCUCUCAGUUCGGAUCGUAGGCUGCAACUCGCCUACGUGAAGUCGGAAUCGCUAGUAAUCGCAGGUCAGCAUACUGCGGUGAAUACGUUCCCGGGCCUUGUACACACCGCCCGUCACACCACGAAAGUCGGAAGUGCCCAAAGCCGGUGGG
Molecule: ribosomal RNA, 800 nt
Filed under: uncultured bacterium
Lineage: Bacteria
Description: bacterial SSU rRNA
Rfam family: Bacterial small subunit ribosomal RNA
Source: RNAcentral